UUUUUUGCUUUUCACAUCAGGAUGGGGGUCUGUAUUUUAAGUGGUUAAACAGCACCCGUGAUAAGGGUGAGGUCGGCAAUCGAAUCUGCCCAGACCCACCACUUACCUGGUGAAGUUGGUCAGAGCGCGUACGACACCCGGAUACGGGGCCAUAGCUCAGGUGGGAGAGCGCCAGGUAACUGGCAGUAGGUGAAGAUUUGAAUUCCGACCUCUCCAUCUCAGGGGGCGCUCUUGACAGCUAGUCGUUUUUA
RNAcentral lists this transfer RNA (251 nucleotides) under Pseudomonas syringae pv. actinidiae. Its description in RNAcentral is "partial 16S-23S ribosomal RNA intergenic spacer". Lineage: Bacteria; Pseudomonadati; Pseudomonadota; Gammaproteobacteria; Pseudomonadales; Pseudomonadaceae. The record is from RNAcentral.